GCGCGGGCCAGGCGCUCGUAGUUCAGCCGGAUAGAGUAGUGGCUUCCGAAGCCAUUGGUCGGGGGUUCGAAUCCCUCCGGGCGCACCAGUUCAGUUCCAGAGCUUGUGCUGGGAUUU
RNAcentral lists this transfer RNA (117 nucleotides) under Xanthomonas euvesicatoria. Its description in RNAcentral is "tRNA-Arg". The stretch from base 12 to 85 matches the Rfam family "tRNA". From Rfam's summary of the family: Transfer RNA (tRNA) molecules are approximately 80 nucleotides in length. Their secondary structure includes four short double-helical elements and three loops (D, anti-codon, and T loops). The record is from RNAcentral. Lineage: Bacteria; Pseudomonadati; Pseudomonadota; Gammaproteobacteria; Lysobacterales; Lysobacteraceae.